GACGAACGCUGGCGGCGUGCCUAAUACAUGCAAGUCGAACGAGAGCGACCGGUGCUUGCACUGGUCAAUCUAGUGGCGAACGGGUGAGUAACACGUGGGUAACCUGCCCAUCAGAGGGGGAUAACAUUCGGAAACGGAUGCUAAAACCGCAUAGGUCUUCGAACCGCAUGGUUUGAAGAGGAAAAGAGGCGCAAGCUUCUGCUGAUGGAUGGACCCGCGGUGCAUUAGCUAGUUGGUGAGGUAACGGCUCACCAAGGCCGUGAUGCAUAGCCGACCUGAGAGGGUGAUCGGCCACAUUGGGACUGAGACACGGCCCAAACUCCUACGGGAGGCAGCAGUAGGGAAUCUUCCGCAAUGGACGCAAGUCUGACGGAGCAACGCCGCGUGAGUGAAGAAGGUUUUCGGAUCGUAAAACUCUGUUGUUAGGGAAGAACAAGUGCUAGAGUAACUGU
Molecule: ribosomal RNA, 452 nt
Filed under: Granulicatella adiacens
Lineage: Bacteria; Bacillati; Bacillota; Bacilli; Lactobacillales; Carnobacteriaceae
Description: bacterial SSU rRNA
Rfam family: Bacterial small subunit ribosomal RNA
Source: RNAcentral